RNAcentral lists this non-coding RNA (30 nucleotides) under Homo sapiens (human). The record is from RNAcentral. Lineage: Eukaryota; Metazoa; Chordata; Mammalia; Primates; Hominidae.
GCAUGAGCGAUCUAUGCCUUAAGGACAUGU